AAAUAAGGAGCAUCGGCUAAGAGCGCAACGUCCUGUUGCAAUGCCGAUGUUAGCACAUCCUUGUGCG
RNAcentral lists this small RNA (67 nucleotides) under Aneurinibacillus soli. RNAcentral's name for it is "Bacillaceae-1 RNA". It matches the Rfam family "Bacillaceae-1 RNA". Lineage: Bacteria; Bacillati; Bacillota; Bacilli; Caryophanales; Paenibacillaceae. The record is from Rfam by way of RNAcentral.